Molecule: ribosomal RNA, 471 nt
Filed under: uncultured bacterium
Lineage: Bacteria
Description: bacterial SSU rRNA
Rfam family: Bacterial small subunit ribosomal RNA
Source: RNAcentral
ACUCCUACGGGAGGCAGCAGUGGGAAUAUUGGACAAUGGGGGCAACCCUGAUCCAGCGAUGCCGCGUGUGUGAAGAAGGCCUGAGGGUUGUAAAGCACUUUUAGUGGGGAGGAAAGUUAACAGGUUAAGAGCUAGUUAAGUUGACGUUACCCACCAUAAACAGCACCGGCUAACUCCGUGCCAGCAGCCGCGGUAAUACGGGGGUGCAAGCGUUAAUCGGAGUUAUUGGCGUAAAGAGUACGUAGGCGGCUUAGUAAGUUGAUUGUGAAAGCCCCAGGCUCAACCUGGGAAUUGCAAUCAAAACUGCUUCGCUAGAGUUUGGUAGGGGAUAAUGGAAUUCCUAGUGUAGGGGUGAAAUCCGUAGAUAUUAGGAGGAAUAUCGGUGGCGAAGGCGAUUAUCUGGGCCAAUACUGACGCUGAGGUACGAAGGCGUGGGGAGCAAACAGGAUUAGAUACCCUGGUAGGUCAGUC